AUUUAAAUAGUUUAAUAAAAAUAUUGAUUUGUGAAAUUAUAUAAAUAUAUAAAAAUUUAUUUUAAAUU
RNAcentral lists this transfer RNA (68 nucleotides) under Apis nuluensis. Its description in RNAcentral is "tRNA-His". The record is from RNAcentral. Lineage: Eukaryota; Metazoa; Arthropoda; Insecta; Hymenoptera; Apidae.